Non-coding RNA from Arachis ipaensis, 657 nucleotides. The record is from RefSeq and is a predicted model, not a curated record. NCBI's taxonomy places the organism in Eukaryota, Viridiplantae, Streptophyta, Magnoliopsida, Fabales, Fabaceae.
UCAUCCAUCAUUUACCCUCAUCUGUUCUUAUUUCUUUUUCCUUCAACAACACAAAGAGGAGGGAGUGCAAGCCACGAAGAAAAGAAGAGAGGGAAGGGUGGAGAACGAAGAGGAAAAAAAGAGAAGAGGAAGAAGAAGGCACCGUCGGCAAGAAAGGGCGUCGUUGCUGACGUUCUCCUCUUUUGUUGCUGACGUUCAUCUAUUAUGCUUUCUGUUCUGCUUUAUGUUCUGCUUCUCUGUUUCUCUGUUCUACUUCUUGGAGCUCAUCUCUUUCCAGAUCUAUUCAUGUGGUGUCGUUGGUGUGCCGAUCGUGGUGGUAGGUGUUGCUGCCGCCGAGGGGGCGAUGAUACUACUCCGAUGGGGAAGUAGUUCAAGCACGAAAACCCAUGGGUGAAGCAGAAUGCAGAAAAGGCAUGGAGUCGUUCAAGAAGGCGGCAGCGCAUGGGUCACCACUCGCCAUGGUGGACCUCGAUUUGUUCCUGAAAUCGGCGUUCUCUCCUUUUAAGUUUGAAAGAUUGGAUUUUUGAAAUUUUUUUUGUCUUGAAUUUGAACGUGGUGGUAUUGUUGUUGAUGAAUUUUUGAAUUUGAAUGUGGUGGUGUUGUUGUUGUUGGAUUUUUGAAUAUGAAAUUGAAUGUUGGUAAUGUUGUUGUUGAUUU